This 465-nucleotide ribosomal RNA is filed under the name uncultured bacterium. RNAcentral's name for it is "partial 16S ribosomal RNA". It matches the Rfam family "Bacterial small subunit ribosomal RNA", at positions 29 to 507 of the family's 1533-position model. The record is from RNAcentral.
AAUGAACGUUGGCGGCGUGGAUUAGGCAUGCGAGUCGAGCGAGAACCCCGCAAGGGGGGACAGCGGCGAAAGGGACAGUACUGUGUAGAUUAUCUGCCCUCAGGUCCGGGAUAGCUGCGGGAAACUGCAGGUAAUACCGGAUAACAUCUCCGGAUCAAAGGUGUGAUUCCGCCUGAGGAUGAGUCUGCAUCCUAUUAGCUAGUUGGUGGGGUAAUGGCCUACCAAGGCAUUGAUGGGUAGCAGGUGUGAGAGCACGACCUGCGUCAUUGGGACUGAGACACUGCCCAGACACCUACGGGUGGCUGCAGUCGAGAAUCUUCGGCAAUGGGCGCAAGCCUGACCGAGCGACGCCGCGUGUGGGAUGAAGGCCUUCGGGUUGUAAACCACUGUCAGAGGGGAUGAAAUGCAGGUGGGUUCUCCCAUCUGUUUGACAUAGCCUCAGAGGAAGGACGGGCUAAGUUCGUG